RNAcentral lists this long non-coding RNA (901 nucleotides) under Capsella rubella. RNAcentral describes it as "long non-coding RNA (CRUB_LNC003254)". The record is from RNAcentral. Lineage: Eukaryota; Viridiplantae; Streptophyta; Magnoliopsida; Brassicales; Brassicaceae.
AGCUCGCUUCUCAGCUUGAGCUCACUUCUCAACUUUAGUUUGCUUAUCAGCUUCAGCUAACUUCUCAGCAGCUCGUCUUAGCUUUAGCUCUCUUUUCAGCAGCUUUCCCCAGCUCGCUCCCCAGCUCGCACCUCAACAUCUCUCUAGCAGUUCAUUCCAGCUCGUUUCUUAGCAGUCACAGCUUGCUUCACAGCAGCUCUCUUCAGCUCUUACAGCAGUUUCAGCUCGCUUCUCAGCAGCUUCAACUCGCUUCUCUGCCGUUCUCAUAAGCAUGCUUCUUAGCAGCUCUUGUCAAUUAUUAUGUAGUUGCUAUCUCAGGAUAUAGCCGAGCCAUGCCUCACAUAAGAAAAAAUCGUGCCCUGUAAAUCGUGCCCUGUCUCGCAUAACACAAAAGCCGAGCCAUGCCUCGCAAAAAGAAAAAAAAACAAAAAAAAUGUUCGGGAAUCCGAACUCAACUCAUCCUUAUAAUCACUGAACUACGGAUGGCUUGAUCCCUUUUCGGGUACGUAGGCAGUCCUUCAUCGGAUGCAGCUGCAACUAUUAAUAAAAGUAAAGUUAGCGUUUUUCUAGAACGUAUUCCUACUUUAUUCAAAACGAAUCAUUUGUCGACAUCCUGGCCAGAUGAUCGACUUGCAUCAGAUGCAUACAACUCUUUAAGAGAUUAAGCCGAACCCAGAGGAUCAUUGGAUCGAUUUCGCAUACAACUCUUUUACGGGAUUAAGCCGAACCCAGAGGAUCAUUGGAUCAAUUUUGCACCCGAGUUCUAGUCCGGACGGAAUCAUUAGCCGAACCCAGAGUUUUAUUUCGCAGUCCGCUUCCGACCUAGACAAAGGGGUAAGCCGAGCCCAGAGUUUCCUCUCGCUCCCCGCAAAAGCACACUACUGCUUGGGAUAGAACACCC